RNAcentral lists this unclassified non-coding RNA (342 nucleotides) under soil metagenome. Its description in RNAcentral is "partial contains 5.8S ribosomal RNA, internal transcribed spacer 2, and large subunit ribosomal RNA". The stretch from base 1 to 120 matches the Rfam family "5.8S ribosomal RNA", at positions 35 to 154 of the family's 154-position model. The record is from RNAcentral.
GAUGAAGAACGUAGCGAAAUGCGAUAUGUAAUGUGAAUUGCAGAAUUCAGUGAAUCAUCGAAUCUUUGAACGCACAUUGCGCCCGCCAGCACUCUGGCGGGCAUGCCUGUUCGAGCGUCAUUUCAACCAUCAAGCCCCCAGGGGCUUGUGCUGGGGCCCUGCGGCUGCCCGCAGGCCCUGAAAACCAGUGGCGGGCUCGCUAGUCACACCGAGCGCAGUAGCACAUCUCGCUCAGGGCGUGCGGCGGGCUCCUGCCGUGAAACCCCCCACUGUAACCCCAAAGGUUGACCUCGGAUCAGGUAGGAAUACCCGCUGAACUUAAGCAUAUCAAUAAGCGGAGGA